This 45-nucleotide non-coding RNA is filed under the name Schistosoma mattheei. The record is from RNAcentral. Lineage: Eukaryota; Metazoa; Platyhelminthes; Trematoda; Strigeidida; Schistosomatidae.
AUCCAGCUGACGAGUAGCAAAUAGGACGAAACGCGCAUCCUGGAU